Molecule: long non-coding RNA, 1295 nt
Organism: Rosa chinensis
Lineage: Eukaryota; Viridiplantae; Streptophyta; Magnoliopsida; Rosales; Rosaceae
Exons: 11
Source: RefSeq, a predicted model, not a curated record
UCUGCUCAUAAUCUCCUCUAAUUUCAGGUACCCAAUACAAUUUCUUUAGGAAUUCACUCUUUGUGGCCCUAUACUAUCAGUUUUGAACAAGCGAACUCAUCUCCGGGUUUGUUUUGGAUUGUUGAUCGGCUUAUUCAGUGGAUUGUCCCUCCACAAUUUCUUAUUCUCUCUGAUCUUAUUCCUCGACAGUGAGAAGCAGAAAGAAAGCAGCCGAGAGAAAAACAGAGAGAGGGUACGUAUCGGUGCCACCUAGCUACAACCGAUUGUUACAUCAAUGUUUUCCUCCAUGAUCGAGAGAUAGAGUCGUCGCUUGGAGGAGUUUUUGAUGGUUCAACCUAGACGGAGCGUUGCUUGCGAUUUGCGAAUAUGGAUUUUGAUCAAGGAAUAGAUUUGGCAAAGAAGACCUCAUUUGUACGUAUGUCCUUUUGAAGGGAGAGCACAUAUAACUUUAAUAUAUUUGGGGGCAGGAAGCUCUCUAUGCCAUGUCUUCAGGCUUCCCAAUGAUACUUCUACUGAGUUAUCGGUUGCUUCUUCCCGGCAGAAGUUGAAGUCCAAAGCCUGCUACAUGAACAUUGAAUGAGCACUGUAAAUUUAAUGGGGGAUCAACUACUAUAGUUUGGAACCUAAUUCAGGAUUUUGAAUGCAGGCUCAGCAGUGUCCAUCCUUGAUCUUAAUAAGAGUACCAACCCAGUAACUGCCUCAUUUCAGACGUGCUGAAUGUUUCUUCCAUCACUGGGAAAUGUUGAUUGACAAUGUUAUUGUCCCUGUGGCUUCAUUUGAUUUGGGUCAUCAAGUAUCAAAUAAGUUAUUGUUCCUUGGAAAUUAAGCCACAACCUUAUUAAAGGAAGCAGAAUUCAUAAGACAUAUCCACUCAAGGCUGGCUUUUGGGAAUCGAUUAAAUCUGGGGAGAAGGAUUGGAGGGUGAUGAGCUAAGAAGGAAUUCUUAUGUCAUCAAGAUCCUAAAGAAGACAAGUUUCCAUGGCUCUAGCGCGUUGAAAAAGCCAGAAACAACCCUGGAGCAUGAUUGAAGCUCUCAAAACCACUUUGGAAGGCUCCCUCCUAAUAUCAGAGACGAAUGAUGCAAGGACAAGGUUGCACCUAUGUAAUGGUACCAUGAUCACAGGGAUAUAGCAUUUUCGGCUUAUAAGCUUUUGACGCUGUCGCGGUUGCUUUACAUAAUAGUUAUUUUUCCAUUCCCUGUUUGUUGAUAAGAUUCCGUGUAUUUCAAUCAAUUAUCGUCUUACAAUGUCAAUCAACUAAUCAACAAUUUAGCUUCAGUUUAUUAAAACUAUCAU